RNAcentral lists this ribosomal RNA (2905 nucleotides) under Salmonella enterica. RNAcentral describes it as "bacterial LSU rRNA". It matches the Rfam family "Bacterial large subunit ribosomal RNA". The record is from RNAcentral. Lineage: Bacteria; Pseudomonadati; Pseudomonadota; Gammaproteobacteria; Enterobacterales; Enterobacteriaceae.
UUAAGCGACUAAGCGUACACGGUGGAUGCCCUGGCAGUCAGAGGCGAUGAAGGGCGUACUAAUCUGCGAUAAGCGCCGGUAAGGUGAUAUGAACCGUUAUAACCGGCGAUACCCGAAUGGGGAAACCCAGUGUGACUCGUCACACUAUCAUUAACUGAAUCCAUAGGUUAAUGAGGCGAACCGGGGGAACUGAAACAUCUAAGUACCCCGAGGAAAAGAAAUCAACCGAGAUUCCCCCAGUAGCGGCGAGCGAACGGGGAGGAGCCCAGAGCCUGAAUCAGCAUGUGUGUUAGUGGAAGCGUCUGGAAAGGCGCGCGAUACAGGGUGACAGCCCCGUACACAAAAGCGCAUGUGCUGUGAGCUCGAUGAGUAGGGCGGGACACGUGGUAUCCUGUCUGAAUAUGGGGGGACCAUCCUCCAAGGCUAAAUACUCCUGACUGACCGAUAGUGAACCAGUACCGUGAGGGAAAGGCGAAAAGAACCCCGGCGAGGGGAGUGAAAAAGAACCUGAAACCGUGUACGUACAAGCAGUGGGAGCACAGGUUUACCUGUGUGACUGCGUACCUUUUGUAUAAUGGGUCAGCGACUUAUAUUCUGUAGCAAGGUUAACCGAAUAGGGGAGCCGGAGGGAAACCGAGUCUUAAUUGGGCGUUAAGUUGCAGGGUAUAGACCCGAAACCCGGUGAUCUAGCCAUGGGCAGGUUGAAGGUUGGGUAACACUAACUGGAGGACCGAACCGACUAAUGUUGAAAAAUUAGCGGAUGACCUGUGGCUGGGGGUGAAAGGCCAAUCAAACCGGGAGAUAGCUGGUUCUCCCCGAAAGCUAUUUAGGUAGCGCCUCGUGAAUUCAUCUCCGGGGGUAGAGCACUGUUUCGGCUAGGGGGCCAUCCCGGCUUACCAACCCGAUGCAAACUGCGAAUACCGGAGAAUGUUAUCACGGGAGACACACGGCGGGUGCUAACGUCCGUCGUGAAGAGGGAAACAACCCAGACCGCCAGCUAAGGUCCCAAAGUCAUGGUUAAGUGGGAAACGAUGUGGGAAGGCCCAGACAGCCAGGAUGUUGGCUUAGAAGCAGCCAUCAUUUAAAGAAAGCGUAAUAGCUCACUGGUCGAGUCGGCCUGCGCGGAAGAUGUAACGGGGCUAAACCAUGCACCGAAGCUGCGGCAGCGACACUGUGUGUUGUUGGGUAGGGGAGCGUUCUGUAAGCCUGCGAAGGUGGCCUGUGAGGGUUGCUGGAGGUAUCAGAAGUGCGAAUGCUGACAUAAGUAACGAUAAAGCGGGUGAAAAGCCCGCUCGCCGGAAGACCAAGGGUUCCUGUCCAACGUUAAUCGGGGCAGGGUGAGUCGACCCCUAAGGCGAGGCCGAAAGGCGUAGUCGAUGGGAAACGGGUUAAUAUUCCCGUACUUGGUGUUACUGCGAAGGGGGGACGGAGAAGGCUAUGUUGGCCGGGCGACGGUUGUCCCGGUUUAAGCGUGUAGGUGUGUGUUCCAGGUAAAUCCGGUUCACUUUAACACUGAGGCGUGACGACGAGGCACUACGGUGCUGAAGCAACAAAUGCCCUGCUUCCAGGAAAAGCCUCUAAGCAUCAGGUAACAUCAAAUCGUACCCCAAACCGACACAGGUGGUCAGGUAGAGAAUACCAAGGCGCUUGAGAGAACUCGGGUGAAGGAACUAGGCAAAAUGGUGCCGUAACUUCGGGAGAAGGCACGCUGACACGUAGGUGAAGUGAUUUACUCAUGGAGCUGAAGUCAGUCGAAGAUACCAGCUGGCUGCAACUGUUUAUUAAAAACACAGCACUGUGCAAACACGAAAGUGGACGUAUACGGUGUGACGCCUGCCCGGUGCCGGAAGGUUAAUUGAUGGGGUCAGCGCAAGCGAAGCUCCUGAUCGAAGCCCCGGUAAACGGCGGCCGUAACUAUAACGGUCCUAAGGUAGCGAAAUUCCUUGUCGGGUAAGUUCCGACCUGCACGAAUGGCGUAAUGAUGGCCAGGCUGUCUCCACCCGAGACUCAGUGAAAUUGAACUCGCUGUGAAGAUGCAGUGUACCCGCGGCAAGACGGAAAGACCCCGUGAACCUUUACUAUAGCUUGACACUGAACAUUGAGCCUUGAUGUGUAGGAUAGGUGGGAGGCUUUGAAGUGUGGACGCCAGUCUGCAUGGAGCCGACCUUGAAAUACCACCCUUUAAUGUUUGAUGUUCUAACGUGGACCCGUUACCCGGGUUGCGGACAGUGUCUGGUGGGUAGUUUGACUGGGGCGGUCUCCUCCUAAAGAGUAACGGAGGAGCACGAAGGUUGGCUAAUCCUGGUCGGACAUCAGGAGGUUAGUGCAAUGGCAUAAGCCAGCUUGACUGCGAGCGUGACGGCGCGAGCAGGUGCGAAAGCAGGUCAUAGUGAUCCGGUGGUUCUGAAUGGAAGGGCCAUCGCUCAACGGAUAAAAGGUACUCCGGGGAUAACAGGCUGAUACCGCCCAAGAGUUCAUAUCGACGGCGGUGUUUGGCACCUCGAUGUCGGCUCAUCACAUCCUGGGGCUGAAGUAGGUCCCAAGGGUAUGGCUGUUCGCCAUUUAAAGUGGUACGCGAGCUGGGUUUAGAACGUCGUGAGACAGUUCGGUCCCUAUCUGCCGUGGGCGCUGGAGAACUGAGGGGGGCUGCUCCUAGUACGAGAGGACCGGAGUGGACGCAUCACUGGUGUUCGGGUUGUCAUGCCAAUGGCACUGCCCGGUAGCUAAAUGCGGAAGAGAUAAGUGCUGAAAGCAUCUAAGCACGAAACUUGCCCCGAGAUGAGUUCUCCCUGAGACUUAAAGUCUCCUGAAGGAACGUUGAAGACGACGACGUUGAUAGGCCGGGUGUGUAAGCGCAGCGAUGCGUUGAGCUAACCGGUACUAAUGAACCGUGAGGCUUAACCUU